RNAcentral lists this ribosomal RNA (446 nucleotides) under uncultured bacterium. RNAcentral describes it as "partial 16S ribosomal RNA". It matches the Rfam family "Bacterial small subunit ribosomal RNA", at positions 338 to 795 of the family's 1533-position model. The record is from RNAcentral.
CCUACGCGUGGCAGCAGUCGAGAAUCAUUCACAAUGGGGGAAACUCUGAUGGUGCGACGCCGCGUGGGGGAAUGAAGGUCUUCGGAUUGUAAACCCCUGUCAUGUGGGAGCAAAUUAAAAAGAUAGUACCACAAGAGGAAGAGACGGCUAACUCUGUGCCAGCAGCCGCGGUAAUACAGAGGUCUCAAGCGUUGUUCGGAAUCACUGGGCGUAAAGCGUGCGUAGGCUGUUUCGUAAGUCGUGUGUGAAAGGCGCGGGCUCAACCCGCGGACGGCACAUGAUACUGCGAGACUAGAGUAAUGGAGGGGGAACCGGAAGUCUCGGUGUAGCAGUGAAAUGCGUAGAUAUCGAGAGGAACACUCGUGGCGAAGGCGGGUUCCUGGACAUUAACUGACGCUGAGGCACGAAGGCCAGGGGAGCGAAAGGGAUUAGAUACCCUGGUAGUC